This 492-nucleotide ribosomal RNA is filed under the name uncultured bacterium. RNAcentral's name for it is "partial 16S ribosomal RNA". It matches the Rfam family "Bacterial small subunit ribosomal RNA", at positions 29 to 507 of the family's 1533-position model. The record is from RNAcentral.
AGUGAACGCUGGCGGUAGGCCUAACACAUGCAAGUCGAACGGCAGCACAGUAAGAGCUUGCUCUUACGGGUGGCGAGUGGCGGACGGGUGAGGAAUACAUCGGAAUCUACUUUUUCGUGGGGGAUAACGUAGGGAAACUUACGCUAAUACCGCAUACGACCUACGGGUGAAAGCAGGGGAUCUUCGGACCUUGCGCGAUUGAAUGAGCCGAUGUCGGAUUAGCUAGUUGGCGGGGUAAAGGCCCACCAAGGCGACGAUCCGUAGCUGGUCUGAGAGGAUGAUCAGCCACACUGGAACUGAGACACGGUCCAGACUCCUACGGGAGGCAGCAGUGGGGAAUAUUGGACAAUGGGCGCAAGCCUGAUCCAGCCAUACCGCGUGGGUGAAGAAGGCCUUCGGGUUGUAAAGCCCUUCUGUUGGGAAAGAAAAGCAGCUGGUUAAUACCCCGCUGUUCUGACGGUACCCAAAGAAUAAGCACCGGCUAACUUCGUG